GAUGAAGAACGUAGCGAAAUGCGAUACUUGGUGUGAAUUGCAGAAUCCCGUGAACCAUCGAGUCUUUGAACGCAAGUUGCGCCUCAAGCCAUUAGGUUGAGGGCACGUCUGCCUGGGCGUCUCAUAUCGUUGCCUGAUGCCAGUUUCCUCGUGAUGGGUGACUGUGCAGGGCGAAUGAUGGCUUCCCGUGAGCAUUGUUGCCUCAUGGUUGGUUGAAAAUUGAGUCCUUGGUAGGGAGCGCCGUGAUAGAUGGUGGUUGAGUGACGAACGAGACCCAAUCAUGUGAGACCCCUACCGAAUUUGGCCUUCAUGACCCACAUGCGUCUUUGGAACGCUCAUGACGAGACCUCAGGUCAGGCGGGGCUACCCGCUGAGUUUAAGCAUAUCAAUAAGCGGAGGA
Molecule: unclassified non-coding RNA, 400 nt
Filed under: soil metagenome
Description: partial contains 5.8S ribosomal RNA, internal transcribed spacer 2, and large subunit ribosomal RNA
Rfam family: 5.8S ribosomal RNA (bases 1-122)
Source: RNAcentral